This is a long non-coding RNA of Bubalus bubalis (water buffalo), 926 nucleotides long. RefSeq lists it as uncharacterized. The transcript has 3 exons. NCBI's taxonomy places the organism in Eukaryota, Metazoa, Chordata, Mammalia, Artiodactyla, Bovidae. The record is from RefSeq and is a predicted model, not a curated record.
UGUCGACGUUCCGCGGUAAGGAGAGGUGAAACCAGAAAGAAGACUUCCCUCCGAAGGGUAGACGGGCCUGCUGGGAUACUGAGGGAGGACUGGGUCAGGCGCUGGGCGGGGUUUUCGCAGCUCCGCGGAACGCCGGGAAGGGGUCAAGUCCAGAUGAGGGUUCCGGUUCCGGUGCAGACGGCGGCCUCGGUGUUGCCACGGCUGUGUGGUUGGCCGGUACCUGGAUGGUGAGCUCGCGUUGUUGGAGGGGCUGGAGUUGGCCUCGGUCCUGCGUUGUCCGCUUAGAGUCAUUGAUUCCAGGUAAAUCAGAGGAACAGACAUCAUGAACAGAAAUAAUACAGGAAGUGAUGUGAUGUGGAAGUUUAACUGUUGUUCCAGAAGUCCAGCAUCUGUGGCUCAUAACUUUAGGAACUGUAUCAUUUGCAAGGUCACCUAACUUUUACUCAUAUUGGGUUGGCCAGAAAGUUCAUUCGGUUUUCCUGUAAGCUGAGAGAACCUGCACAAACUUUUGGCCAACCCAAUACUUACAGUAGAUUCCAUAACGCAGACUGUUACUAUGUUCCAGAGACUUCUGAGAAGGUGCCUAGACCACAGAAUUUCAGCAGCAAGGAGCCAGGGCUGUUGUGUGUUGCAUGUUAGGACAGUUUAUCUGUUGGCAGGAGUCUGUGUCUCCCUCUGAUAAUCUCUGAGCUCGCAGCCAGACGAACACUGAGAAAAUUUUAUUGUUUUCCUUUGAAUGAUGACUAAGAUAUAUUACCAAGGCCAUAAGUACUCUUUAUGUUGAGUCAGAAUUUCACUUCAUACUUCAGCCUUUGGGCCUUAAUAAUUACAUGCUUCAGAAUUAACUAAUACAGUUAUGUAAAGUUUAAUAAUAAAAUAAAAUUAAAAAAAAUAAAAUAAAAUAAAAAAGAAAAAAAAAAAAAAAA